Molecule: ribosomal RNA, 474 nt
Filed under: uncultured bacterium
Lineage: Bacteria
Description: SSU rRNA
Rfam family: Bacterial small subunit ribosomal RNA
Source: RNAcentral
AGGACGAACGCUGGCGGCGUGCUUAACACAUGCAAGUCGAGCGGAAAGGCCCUUCGGGGUACUCGAGCGGCGAACGGGUGAGUAACACGUGAGUAACCUGCCCCUAGCUCUGGGAUAGCUCCGGGAAACCGGGAUUAAUACCAGAUACGACCACUUUAGACAUCUGUCGUGGUGGAAAGGAUUCCGGCUAGGGAUGGGCUCGCGGCCUAUCAGCUUGUUGGUGGGGUAACGGCCUACCAAGGCGACGACGGGUAGCCGGCCUGAGAGGGCGACCGGCCACACUGGGACUGAGACACGGCCCAGACUCCUACGGGAGGCAGCAGUGGGAAUAUUGCGCAAUGGGCGAAAGCCUGACGCAGCGACGCCGCGUGGGGGAUGAAGGCCUUCGGGUUGUAAACCCCUUUCAGCAGGGACGAAGCGGAAAGUGACGGUACCUGCAGAAGAAGCGCCGGCUAACUACGUGCCAGCAGCCGC